AAUAAACGCAGCCAUGAGUUUCCAUGUCCAAUUUUGAUCAUCCGUUUUAUUUAAAAUGUUUCAUGAUUAAUAUUUUUUUUAUUAUUAGAUUAUAAAAUAUGAAUAGUACUUUAUGCGAGACUUAUUUUUUAAAAAAAAAUAAAUAAGACGGACGAUUAAAGUUGGACACGGAAACUCAUGGCUACACUUAUU
This is a non-coding RNA of Oryza glaberrima (African rice), 192 nucleotides long. NCBI's taxonomy places the organism in Eukaryota, Viridiplantae, Streptophyta, Magnoliopsida, Poales, Poaceae. The record is from Rfam.